AAGGAGGACAAAUCUGCACAGGAUGCUGGAUAAAUAAACCCAAAGAACAACACAUCUGUUUAAGAAGCCCAUCGAGGGUCCUCAGGCAGCAGGGCCAUGUGAGGACUGCAGGGACACUUGCAGCAUAUGGAGGGAGCUGUCUGCAGGGUUUAAUAUGAUGUCUUUAUGGACGUUGCCUCGUGCACCGGUGUGCAGUCAUGUCGGUACAGGAAGGGGCCAUCCCCAAACUACUCCCACAAAGCUGGGAGCUGAAAUUGUCCAAAAUGUCUCAGUAUGCAGAAGCAUUAAGAGUUCCUUUCAGUAGAACCAAGGAACCGAGUCCUGAAAAACACCCGCACACCAUAACCCCCCCUCCACCAACCUUUACACUCGGUCAGACUAGUACCGCUCUCCUGGAAACCUUCAAACUCCUCCAAUGGACUGCCAGAUAGAGACGUGUGAUUCGUCACUCCAGAGAACACGCCUCCACUGCUCUACAGUCCAG
Long non-coding RNA from Astatotilapia calliptera (eastern happy), 484 nucleotides. Lineage: Eukaryota; Metazoa; Chordata; Actinopteri; Cichliformes; Cichlidae. The record is from Ensembl.